GAUGAAGAACGCAGCGAAAUGCGAUAAGUAAUGUGAAUUGCAGAAUUCAGUGAAUCAUCGAAUCUUUGAACGCACCUUGCGCUCCUUGGUAUUCCGAGGAGCAUGCCUGUUUGAGUGUCAUUAAUAUAUCAACCUUCUCUUUUUUGAGUUGGUUGGAUGUGGGGGUUUGCUGGCCUCUUAAAUGAUUCAGCUCCCCUGAAAUGCAUUAGCAGAACAACCUGUUCAUUAGCGUGAUAAUUAUCUAUGCUAUUGAAUGUGAGGGCAGUUCAGCUUUCUAACCGUCCUUGGACAAUUCAUCAUUAAUGUGACCUCAAAUCAGGUAGGACUACCCGCUGAACUUAAGCAUAUCAAUAAGCGGAGGA
Molecule: unclassified non-coding RNA, 362 nt
Filed under: soil metagenome
Description: partial contains 5.8S ribosomal RNA, internal transcribed spacer 2, and large subunit ribosomal RNA
Rfam family: 5.8S ribosomal RNA (bases 1-120)
Source: RNAcentral